CUAUGCGCCUUGCCAGCCCGCUCAGUCAGAGUUUGAUCCUGGCUCAGGAUGAACGCUAGCGAUAGGCUUAACACAUGCAAGUCGAGGGCAGCAUGGUCUUAGCUUGCUAAGACUGAUGGCGACCGGCGCACGGGUGCGUAACGCGUAUGCAACUUGCCUCACAGAGGGGAUAACCCGUCGAAAGACGGACUAAUACCGCGUACACUUACAGGAGGGCAUCCUCCAGUAAGGAAAUGAAAUUCGCUGUGAGAUAGGCAUGCGUCCCAUUAGCUAGUUGGUGAGUAACGGCUCACCAAGGCGACGAUGGGUAGGGAACUGAGAGGUUGAACCCCACACUGGUACUGAGACACGGACCAG
Molecule: ribosomal RNA, 357 nt
Filed under: uncultured bacterium
Lineage: Bacteria
Description: bacterial SSU rRNA
Rfam family: Bacterial small subunit ribosomal RNA
Source: RNAcentral